GCAUAAUCAUUUGCCUCUUAAUUAGAGGCUAGUAUGAAUGGAUAUAUGAGAUUAUAACUGUCUCUCUUUUUUUUAUAUAAAUUGUCUUAUAGGUGCAGAGACCUAUAUUUUAAUGAAAGACAAAAAGACCCUAUUGAGCUUUAUUUUUAAAAGGUAUUUUUAGAUAUACAACUUUAUAACUUUAUAAAAUUUGGUUGGGGCGACAAAGAAAUAUAUAAAUCUUUUUUUAUAUUUGAGAAUUUUAUUUCUUUUUAAGGAUCUAUAUUAUAGAAAAUAGAAAUAGUUACCAUAGGGAUAACAGGCUAAUUCUUUUGGAGAGUUCAUAUUGAUAAAAGAGUUUGGCACCUCGAUGUUGGCUUAAGAUAUCCUAUAGGUGUAGCAGC
This 383-nucleotide ribosomal RNA is filed under the name Eumida longicornuta. Its description in RNAcentral is "partial 16S ribosomal RNA". It matches the Rfam family "Bacterial large subunit ribosomal RNA", at positions 1959 to 2562 of the family's 2925-position model. Lineage: Eukaryota; Metazoa; Annelida; Polychaeta; Phyllodocida; Phyllodocidae. The record is from RNAcentral.